CUUUGAUCCUGGCUCAGGAUGAACGCUAGCUACAGGCUUAACACAUGCAAGUCGAGGGGAAACGAUAGAGAAAGCUUGCUUUUUCUAGGCGUCGACCGGCGCACGGGUGAGUAACGCGUAUCCAACCUGCCCACCACUUGGGAAUAACCUUGCGAAAGUAAGACUAAUACCCAAUGAUAUCUCUAGAAGACAUCUGAAAGAGAUUAAAGAUUUAUCGGUGAUGGAUGGGGAUGCGUCUGAUUAGCUUGUUGGCGGGGUAACGGCCCACCAAGGCGACGAUCAGUAGGGGUUCUGAGAGGAAGGUCCCCCACAUUGGAACUGAGACACGGUCCAAACUCCUACGGGAGGCAGCAGUGAGGAAUAUUGGUCAAUGGGCGAGAGCCUGAACCAGCCAAGUAGCGUGCAGGAUGACGGCCCUAUGGGUUGUAAACUGCUUUU
This 438-nucleotide ribosomal RNA is filed under the name uncultured Bacteroidota bacterium. RNAcentral describes it as "bacterial SSU rRNA". It matches the Rfam family "Bacterial small subunit ribosomal RNA", at positions 11 to 437 of the family's 1533-position model. Lineage: Bacteria; Pseudomonadati; Bacteroidota. The record is from RNAcentral.